RNAcentral lists this microRNA precursor (84 nucleotides) under Chlamydotis macqueenii (Macqueen's bustard). RNAcentral describes it as "Chlamydotis undulata macqueenii mir-143 microRNA precursor family". It matches the Rfam family "mir-143 microRNA precursor family". Lineage: Eukaryota; Metazoa; Chordata; Aves; Otidiformes; Otididae. The record is from Rfam by way of RNAcentral.
UGUCUUCCAGCCCAAGGUGCAGUGCUGCAUCUCUGGUCAAUUGGGAGUCUGAGAUGAAGCACUGUAGCUCGGGAAGGGAGGAAU